This is a long non-coding RNA of Mus musculus (house mouse), 23090 nucleotides long. RefSeq annotates it as predicted gene, 46928. The transcript is spliced from 2 exons. The record is from RefSeq and is a predicted model, not a curated record. NCBI's taxonomy places the organism in Eukaryota, Metazoa, Chordata, Mammalia, Rodentia, Muridae.
GAGAUUCAUCUGCCUUUGCCUCCUCAGUCCUGAGAUUAAAAGCAUGCACCACCAGACCUGGCUAUGCUAACUGUAUUUUUAACAUGGUUAAGUCUCUUCAGUCUUGUAGGACACAGAAGCUGGGGCUAACGGCAUUGGCACCAUAGAACUGGCUUUUGUAGUUGCCCACGUGCAUAUUUUGGUGAGGUCUUUAAACCUUCCGGCAGCUUCUGGUCCUGUCUGGUGUCCCUUCCAUCCCACUGGAGACUCCUCUAUACCAAGACAAGUCUGGCACUUGAGAAAUCUCCUAAUUGAGAAAGAUCUGAAUGUGUCUCUCACUUGUGUGGGGCAUUUUUGCCAAAUACAGAAUGAUGAUAUCAAGACAUAUCUAUUUUGGGUUUGUUUCCUUGUGUCUAGCUUGCAGCCAUCGGAGCGAUAUGUUGAAGAGUCCCCCAGGCUGGUGGCCCCUGGGUGGCUUUGGAUCCAAAGUGGCCCCUGAAAGAUCAAGUCACAACUAGAGGGCUGGGAUUUUCAGCCCUGCUCCCUACCUCUGGAGAUGCUCAAAGUAGGCAAUGAAGCGCCACUCGCCUGGGGCCAUAACUCAUGCAUCUUCUUGUCUGUGUCCCUUGUGAAUUCCUUUAUACUAAUGGGCACGCAUCAAAAAAGCAUAUGAGCUUCUUAAGCUGCUCUUGUAAGUUAGUUGAACCUACAAGGAGAUUUUGGGGGAGCCUCUGAUUCAUAGGUGAUCAUUUAAAAAUAUAGGUGAUAAUCUAAUACCUGUAACCAAGAUUUGAAAUUUGAGGUCAGGGUACAGUGUUAGAGCUCGUCAAAACUGGUACUAUCCCCCCCACCCCACCCCACCCCACCCCACCCCACCCCACCUCCAUCUCAGCGCCCACUAAGGCUGAAAGUUCAGCGGUAAGUGAAAAGGGCCCUGUGUUCCACUGUCUCAUCUGUAGCUGACUGCUGGGUGGACACAUCCCAUGUGGGCCCAGUGCCAGAUGCCCCAUUGCUGUGAGUUCCUGAACGCCAUGACCACACCAUGCUUAAAAGAUCAUGCGCUGCAGCCCUUCUUGCCAUCGUCCAUCCCUUGCAUUCUUGCUCUUGCCAUCCCCCACCCCCCCGUUUCCACCGUGUUUUCUGAGGGCUAAGGGUGGUAUCAAUGACCUCUCAAGGGCUGAGCUGAGCCCUCAACCAUCCUUCAAGCUCAGCACUGUGUGCGGUCCUGGCCCUCUGAGCUCACCGCUACUCACUGCAAAGAAAGGCUUCACUGAUUAAUGUAGAGAGGAUCGCUUUUAAGCAUCACCUGUCAAUAAAAAAAAAAAGUGAUGAUGGCCAAUGAGCUGAAGCCGGAAGUAGGAGGUGGGACACUGGCAGGAAGAGAGGAUUCUGGGAAAUAGUGAGAGACUAAAGGAGAUUCAUGUGAGAUGCAGGGAGGAGGGGGAGGGGGGAAGAGAAGGAAGGGGGGAGGGAAUUCUGGGAAGAUGCUAAGAAGGAGGAGGCCAGGACUGAAGUAGAGGUAACUAACCACAUUGUAGACACAGAAUAGUUUAAUUGGGCUAAAUGAGUUCUAAGCUAAUCAGAGGAUGAGUCAGAGCUUGUGGCCAAGGCAUAUAUUAAUAAAUAAUUAGUCUCAGAAUCAUCAUUCUGGAAAAAGGGACUGCGAAGAAAAAGAGACAGAUUUUUCCUUUUUCAGAUUACGGCUGAGAGGCUUGGUCUAUGGUAUUAACGUAGACGUUCACCUAACUGCAUCAGUUUAGCUAGGCAGGGGCAUUGUUUCUCCUGGAGCUAAAGGCCUCCUUGGCCUUGGAAUUUUCUUUAAUGGAUUCCCAGUACAGGACAUGGUACUAUCAUGUACAGCACAACUGCCUUCCUCAUGGUGGCCAGAAAGUGAGGAGCGAGCAGGGAGAGGAUUGGAGACAGGAUGUAGCCUCCAGGGACGGCCUCCAGUUGGGCUUUAUCUCCUGAGAGUCCCACCAUCCUCCUGUAAUCCCCUCAGCUGGUAUCCAACUACUUGCAUCAUGGCCUUUGGGGGACAUUGCAAGUCCAAAUUAUGAUGCUUUUUUAUCAAAGUUGGCAUUGAGGUCAGUGGGUACUACAGACCAGGAUGGGUGUGGAGACACCAAAGGAGUCCCUGGCCUCUUCAGCCAGGAGAGAUAAAUGGACUUGUAUUCAGGAUUGCCAUGAUGGUUGGGCGUAAACUGUCUUCAUGUUUGGUUGAAGAAACAGAAGUGAAUAAAAUGAAAUUAGACCUAAUAGUAAGCUUAGUCUGCUUCUGGUUUUUCCAGCCUGUACAUCCAUUGAAUGACAAAGACUGGAUGUCAUAGCAAGAAGCUUACAUGUAAAGUCCUUUCAGUGUGCUGGAGCAGAUAGGAAGAAGUGUGUUCAUACUUCAGGGUGGUCACUCGAGAAAGUGUGAGGGUGGGGGAGGAGUCAGAGAAAAUUCCUCAAGGCUGUAUGGGAGAUGCCCAGACAGGCAGGGACACUCGACUUGUUACUGGAUGCUGGGAUCUGAACACCAGUCCUUAACCGCUGAGCCAUCUUUGCAGCAGCCCCCAUGUGAUAUUCUCUAACUCCCAUUUUAGCUCAUCAACGGUGAGAUCAAGCUGCCAGCUCAGGGCUAUUAUAUUUUCCUGGGCAUGAGGUGAUGGAGGCUUAUGCCCAGCUAUUAUGUAGACAUGCCACUAGACAAAAUACAAUGGAAGGUUUAUGAGACUAUAGGAAAUGCUAAAGGCAGCCGACAGAUCUACCCCCUUUUUCUAAACACAGCGUCCAUAUCUCUCCAGUGAUAUAUACUACAGUAUAUAGCUUGCAGGGCAACUCAGAAACAUUUUCCUGUCUCUGUGUUCGACCCUAAAAUGGAAAUUUUAUAGUAAGUCUCCCUCUGGGUAUUACAUACAUAAACAAGAUAAUUGAUGUGAAGCCUUGAUUAUGUGGCAGUCUGAGUGUGAUGAUUAUUGCUGAUGACGGCCUGAGAAGCGACAUUCUCCUGUGGAUUAAAAUGGUUUUAGAGGAAAGGAAUUUGUAGAAACCCCUUCAUAGAAGCUAAUGGGGUGCCCCAGGAAUCGGCGCCUCACCUAUGAAAUAAUUAGUUAGAGAGAAGUAGCCAGCUCAUGGAAAGAGCUGAUGUCUCAAAAUUAUUUAAGCUAGUAAAACCCGCAGAGAAUUCUACAGAAUAUUCCAGAAGGAGUUAAUCAAACUGUAUGACCAGGAAACGGGACAGCUUCUCUGUUUUAAUGAAGACAAAUGACUUGCUUAAGAAAAGAAGGAUUUCUGGUUGUGUCAGCGUGUUGACUAACCAAGAGGGCUAAGCAAUGUGUCAUCGGAAUCGUGAAGUGCAUCUCCACAUAUUCGUACAUAGCACUCCUCAUUCAGAGCACACUUACCCUAUCAGACAUCUAUGCCAAAAAAACCAGGUACUGUCCAGCCUUAAGCACCUAGUCCAGCCAGAAGGCCAGAGAGACAGAUUGGAAUGCAAAGUGACUGAGCAAAUAUAUAAGCUUCCCAUAGCGUUAUGACAAAAGACACAAACUACGUUAUUUUGUACCCCGUACAUUCUCUGCCCAUUACCAGGUCGCACCUCCCAAGCAUGGCUUAUCUGAGUCUCUGCCCCAGAGCUCAAAACGCUGUAUCUUCACCUGGCAGCUCACCUGGAGAGAAUCCUUUUUUCUCCCUUAGGUUUGGGGCAGGGGGACAAUUUGCUUGUGGCUGGACGACUGGAGGUGUUGAUUUUCAUUACUGCUGGCUGGGAGCUACUUUCCACUUCUGGGAUCACCUGCACUUCUUACAGGCCUCCCACUCAUGGUUCCUCUCAGUCUGGGCUUAUUCGACAAGAUCAUUUUUCAAAUUAGCAAGGGGGAAUCUAACCUAAUAUGGAGACUUCUAUGUGCCACCACAGAAGUAGUUCGUCCUCAUCUCUGCUACCUUCUAUUGAUUAUAAACAGUCUCAUGUCCUUCCCCAUCCCCACCCACAGAGGGAAGGGACUACACAGGCCAAGAACAACUGCAGGCUGGUGUUACUGAGGUGAGUCACACCUUAGAAUCUGUCUGCCACAGACACAUUCUAGACACUUCUAAGAAAAGAAUACAUGAAAGACAAGUGACUUGGGAGGGUUAGCAUCCAUCUAACCCUGUCCCAUUGGGCUGCAUCAGCUAAGGUGGGCGGGCUUUUGGUGGUGUAAUAGAUUGUCCUACAUUGGUAUGGCUAUCAAUUUUUGUCACAGAUUGCAUAUAAUAGCGAUAGGAAUAAAUGCUAUUUUAAUUAUCAGGAAAGUGAGUCCAAGAGCAUUUACAUAUAUCUUGAGUGCUUUGUUUUAAUUUAAAGUUUAUAAUUGUGGUUAUAUAAACCUCCUAAGGCCAAAGGUCAUGAGUUAUUAUGUCUAGGUUACUAAAGAGCCUGUGAAGACAUCUUUGGAGUCCUCCACCUCGGAGCAUCUCUGAUCCUGCAUGGUGUGCCUCUGCCACUCCACAGAAUUCUGUGCAAAUACAAGCUGAAAUGGUAUUUGUGGACCGUGACUGCCACGUCAACUCAAACUGCCCAACCUCUUCUUUGUUUAGUUCAGCCUACAGGAUGCUCUAAGUUACCUAGUUACAUCAGAAAGCUCACUAGCAUUCAAAGCUUUGGAAACAAGCCCAACCCAUUUACAAUAGCACAGAGCUGAGGUAGCUUCCUGCCUGUCCCUGCUGUGCUUUGUAAGGGAGUGGGAACUUUGCUUCUGAAAGUACUCUGAAACUUCCUGGUUGGUUCUUCCAGUUAAGCGCCCAGCAAACCUUUAGCUUCCCACCAAGAAUACCAGCAUCUCUGGGAUAAGGAAAACACCAUUGUGUCCCAGCAUCCUUUGCCCAGGGUGGAGUGUUCAGGAAUGGUAUGAGAUAUGAGCAUGCUGAACCUAUUAGUAUCUCUAGAAAAUGAGAAAUAUCAUUCUUUGUAUUUAAGUUUUAAGUUACAUGGUGUGUGUGUGUGUGUACGUACUGGUGGUGGUCAAUUGUAUCAUGCUUGGAAACAAGUAGCAGAUAAGCCAUUCAUGGCCCUAAUUUUGUAUGUAUUUUACUGUAAUUGUUUCUGUCAGAGCUACUGCUAUAUAACAAUCAAAGCAGGGCAUUUAACCCAGCAGCAGCCGUUCCACUUAGGAUGAAGAAGGACCACAUACAGUAGGUGUUGCCAUGUUGAAGUCUUUCAGUUUGAUUUGGUGGGAAGAAGAAGGAGAGAAUACAGAUGCUAAAGCCCCAUGUGUGUACCACAUUAGUCAGUCAAGGAACUUUUCCUGGAGGAGGUUAAAGCCAUCUGUGAACCAAUUCAGGGCUGGAGAGAUGGCUCUGUGGUUAAGAACACUAGCUGUUCUCUCGGGAUAGUUUCCUGGCAUCCGCAAGGCAACUCCCAACCAUCUGCACCUCCAGUCCAAGGGAUCUGUCACCCUCUGCUGGCCUCUGUGUGUACCACAUGCCUGUGGUACAUAUAGACAAAUACAGGCAAACAUUCAUUCACAUACAAUAAAAGUAAAAUAAAUAUUUACAAAAAUUCCCUCCAUUCGGAAAUGGCAAGAAGAGGUAUAGUUAGCUGAUAGGAGAUAAAUGUGAUGAUGCUCUGUUGUUUCAGUUCCUGGCUAUCUAACACAGUGCUCCUUGAUAAGAGGCCACUGAAAUGAAACAAAAUAACAUUUUAUUACAUUUCAUGCACGGAUUUUAUGGAAAAUAAGGUCUUAACUGAGAGUGUAGGACUUAUGGGAAAUGGCUUUUAAACUCUGGACCCCUAUCCUUAACUAUCUCACUGCAAAAUAUCUAAACCCUUCAUCUGGAUCCUCUUUAAUUUGCAGAUAUUUUCCAGUUUUUUUUUUAAAGCAACACAAAUGAAUCCAUAGAACCACUUCCCAUAUCUUCCCUAUAAUAGCAUUGUCUUAGUGGAAAUAGCUACAUAUUAAAAGGCCAUGAUUCCAUGCAUUAUUAAACACAUAAAGUCCUAUCCCAGGCAAAAAGCCACCAAACCAAUUAACCAUUAUCCCUCUCAAAACACACUGUGUCAAGAGUCAAGUUCAUAAAUAAUAUAGCUUUAUGAUAUUAGUGUAACGUGAGACUUGGGUCUCAGGUGGCUCUCAUCAGACCGCUGGACAAACAGCUCGGGUUGGGGACAUCACUGAGAAUUUCAGGAGGCAAGAAUUCAAACUGCCUGUCAUAAACACCAUGCAUGUUUUGCUCAGGUAGCAUUCUGAAAGAAUUGUACAAUCCCACGUCAUUCAAAAGGACUGCGUUUUUCCAUGUUACUCAUUAGCUAUGGCACAGUGACCCAGCCCGUGGCUGGGUGACCCCGUUUCUCUCUUUACCACCCUCACUUAUAUUUUGUGUUUACAGUUUGUUAAGAAAUUAACUAUGUAAAAAAGAAGAAAAAGCAGCUGUUACUACAGAGAUGCAAGUCCCAUUAAAAUGGCCCCUUGUGGCAGCACAAGAGGACCCUAGUGGGGGUGGUCCUGAGCAUUAUGGAUCUGUAGCAGAAUGAUGCUCCUAGUUUUAAUGGUCCAAUCUCAUUCUUCUGGAUUGUCAGGAUGAACCCUCACACUUGGGAAGGUUGAUAAAGAUAAAAUACAAUGCUGCCACAAAGCUUUAUAUGAUUUGAAAGGUUACCUGUAUUUGACAAAACUGGCUCUCGCUGAUAACGCUAAGCAUGCUUUCUCAGCCUCGAGAUGUGUGGAUUUCUAUACUACCCCCACUGGGAAACAAGACUUGAGUCAACUGGGGGAUUUACCAGGAUCAGAAUUUCAUUAAAAGGAGCUGAUAACACUGGUCUUUCUCUAUCACUGUAUAAUUUGUGAUGCCCUUAGCAAAAUAGAAAUGCACACAAGAGUCCAGUGCAUUUGAUCUUAUCGCCCGGGACAGAGUGGAGCUAUUGAGUGUCCUCUUCCAACAAUGCAUCAUGCCACACCGCAUCUCUGCUGGAGCUCGGGUGUAGACUGCAGGGAGGUGGAAGGCUAGGGCAGGAUGGUAAAGUACCGAGGCAUGGCGGAUGGACAUUCAGAUAAGAUGUUCCAGGACUCAGUCUCCAAAGUGUAAAGAAGAUGAGAAAACACCAGGAAUUCCAUUGCUUGUGUGUGUGCUUUAUUUGUUUGUUUGUUUAUUUGUUUAUUUAUUUAUUUAAGGCAGCAGAAGUCAGGGGCUGUAGAGAUAGCUCAGUGGUUAAGAGCAAUUGUUGCUAUUGCAACGAAACCAUGUUCAAUUCCCAAAUUCUACAUUGCCUCUCCAACUCCAGUCCCAGGGCAAUCCUACACCCUCUUAAGGCCUCUGUGGGCUCUGCUUGUACAUGGUGUGCACACAUACACACAUGCAGGCAAGCACUCAUGUGUGUGAUAUAAAAUAAACACAUCAGUUUUUUAAAAGCAGAAGUCAGAUAUUAAACCAUGAAUAUUAUCAGAGAUACAUAUACAUAUAUCUAUAUGGACAUAAGUAUGUAAACAGGUAUGUUUUUAUAUGUAUACAUAUCUAGAUAUGAUUACAUCCCCACACAGAAACACCUAUUUGCGAGUGUAAAUCAAAAUGCAAUAUAUUUUGACUUCUGCUUCUUAUUUAAUUGGACAUCACAAACAGGCUAAUAUUAAAAAAUAUUUAGCUAGUGCAACACAGAUGCUGACCUAAGACACACAGAUGACAUACACAGACCCAUGCAUUGUGGCCGAGUAUCCUGAUCAUAACCAUGUCCUCCCAUUGCUCCAGAGCCUCUUAAGACUCAGUUUUCUCAUUGGCCCCAAGGCCUGUUCCUUGCUUUCUUCUUAAUCAUUUUAGAUGCUUCUACUCUCUACAUGCACUGAGCAAGUCACACAUGUUAAAAGAUAUUUGCACCCACUGAAUUAUCAUUAUGAGGCCUCAUUUUAGUCUGACAGCUGGAAGGCGGGCAGAAGCUCAAAGGAAUAAAUCACAGAUGAAUCUGACAUCCACAGGUGUCAGUCUCGUUCCCACACAGCUUGUCUGCGUGGCCCUAACUACGUGCCUUGUAAAAAUUGCUUUUCUCUGCAUCAGUUUUCCGAUCUGCCAUGUGAAAAUCCUCCCUGUGUUUGCCAAAAGCAUCCUUGGAGUUAUGCGAGCAUCUUUUACAAGUGAAACUUCCUGAGCAAGGGGGCUCUGGGUUGGACCCCAGGCUUUGCUGGCCGUGUGUUCUGGCAAGUCCUGGCUUCUCUGAGCAUUUCUUUCUGUAGGCAGAAGCAAGGCUUCCCUGAUCAUGGUGGGAUUACCUGGUAGCUAUGGUGGGGGGUGGGGACUCUCAUCCAAAUCAUUCUGGGGAUGGCAAGAAUUAUUACUCAGUGUGGUGGUUUGAAUACGCUUAGCCCAGGGAGUGGUACUAUUUGGAGGUGUGGCCAUGUUGGAGGAAGUGUGUCAGUGUCGGGGUGGGCUUAGAGACUCCCCUCCUAGCUGCCUGAAAAAUGUGUUCAUUAUGACAGGCUUGUUUAAUGUUUAUGUUAAUGAGAAGUUUUCAGACAAGCCCACCAGCUUAUUUAUUAUAAGGAAGUGUGGAGGGGAUUUUUUUUUCUGACUGUUUUCUACCUGACUUUUGGCCAUGCAGUAAGAAUCUCUUGUUGGACUCCGGUGCUGGCUCUCUGGUUCUCGCCUGUGCUUCUUAUGAACACUGAUAGUGUUUGCAUUUCAGCUGAGCUUAGAAAAGCCCAGACUCCCUAUGGACCGCCACAGAGCUCUGCUCUGCGCAUCCCAGCAAGUGCUCUUUUGUUUCUUCAGCACUCAGCAAGCCAGGUGGAUGGCUACUUUGUUCUCAUUGAUUAAGUAACAUCCCAGCCCAUCAGCAGGCCCACAUCCAGAAGUACUUGCCCAAGGCUUUGUGGAGUAAUUUCGCCCACGUAUCUGUGUCAUUUCCAGAAUAGAUCAAAAGCCUUUCUUGUGGGGCAGGAUGGCACAGGGGACAACAAGCGUAUUUUGUUUCCAGUCCUGGGAAUGAACUCCCUAAGUCUCCAGUACUGUUACUCUGGGAUCGCAGCAUGGAAGUUCAGAGCAGGGGCUGGGAGUCCCAAUUCCGUAAGAGAAGUUCCACCUGGGAUAGGGAUAGUGUGCUGAUGUUGGCAGUUGGCCUUGACAUCUUUGGCCCUACUAGAUGUGUGUGUGUGUGUCUGUCUGUCUGUCUGUGUGUUUAUAUGAGUAUGUGAGUGUGUAGGGGUAUAAACAUGUAUGUAGGGGUGUGUGCAUCUGUGUGUACGCAGGGGUAUGUGUGUGUGUAGGAGUAUGUGUGUGUGUUGGGGUUUAAAGUAUAUGUGUAAGGGUAUAAGUGUAUAUGUGUAUCUAUAUGUGUAAGGAUAUGUGUGUGUGUAGGGUUAGAAGUGUUUAUGGGGUAUGCGUGUUGUUCAUUUCUGUGUAUAUAGGGGUGUGUGUAUGUAUCGGUGUGUGUAAGGGUAUGUGCGUGUGUGCGCACAUUUGUGUCUGUGUCUGUGUGUAGGUAUGUGUGUGGUAUCGUGUGGCAUGCUGUUAGAAUAUGCAGGGCAGCAUGGCCCUCCCUGCCCAAAGAAUCAGCAGAGUCUGGUGAGUUGAUCUCCCACAGUGAGUUGUUUAGCUUCUCAUAGAACACCAGUGACCUUCAUCUCCGUUUAUGUGCUUCUGGCUUGUUGGGUUAAAUAUUGCCCAAAGAAGGCUGCACUGAUUUUCACAGGCUGCAUAGAUGCUGAAGAGAGCAAAAUCAUGCUUGAUGCUCUACCAAAUGGAGAUUUAAUGUAAAGUUGAGCAGCAUUUUCUUAGAGGAAGCUCAUCUGUAUUCCUGUGUGUAGGCGCCACACUGCCCCAGCAUUUUAAGUGAAAUAGCAAGCAUUAUUUGGAGGAUGAAAGGAUCUGAGUGUAGGGUCUCUUCUUUGGCAUUGUCAUGUGAGAGGUGAGUGCUUACGUGUCGGAAGCAUUAGCAGGAUGCUCGUGUUGUGUAUGGGAGCCUGUGUCAGCAGCCAGCCAGACUGUACAUAGAGCUCGCUCAUUAACCAAGCUGCCUCUCACUUCCAGUUCACAGAGACAGCUUCUCUUAUCAGGCCUGUCUGUGACACAGGGCUUCCAUUCUCGCUAUCCUGUUGAAGUCUGACAAGCAGAUGAGGACCUUUUUUAGUCACAAGGGCUACACUGUCACACCCUCGGGGAAGAAGUGUGCUUCUGAGAACAUCUCAGAGGUGCUAAAAGAACAAGUGUGAGCAUGAGCAUCCUGCAUCCCGCGUUCUUAUUGGCUGGCCGGAGCCCAAGCUAUGUUGAGUACCUCUCUGUCUUGUGAAUAUUUGGCUCCAGAAGCCCGUAGAUGUGUUAGAAAUGGCUCAGCAGGGAGCUGCAGGAGUAGCUAGCCAAUGGGAAAGAAGCAAAGGUCUUAUGUGAGUUGCCUGGAAGGGAGACAGAGUGAGGGCGGCUAGGAAUCUCGGCGUGAGAGCCAGGGUUAGAGAGAGCAUCCACCAGGGCAAGAAAGUAGGGGGGAAAUGCAGAAAGCCUUUUAAAGGAGGGUUUGUGAUUAAGGAGGUAUGGUAUUCACUUUCCAGCUUUGUGGAUGGCGCUCUCCUACCGCAAUUAACUACUUCCACAAGAGCUUCCACCAGAGGCAGGUCUGAAUGAAUGAUCAGAAACUUAGCUCCUACUGCAGGCUCCCGAAGCCCUGGGUUCUGAGUAAACCCCACAUUGGGGGAACCAGGGUGACACUUAUAGACACCUGACUGAGAGUCCUGUGGGGUGAAGGAAGUCCUGGAGAGGAAUGUUUUUAAUCUUUUGAUGUGGAGCCUCUAAAAGCCCUACAUGCAUUACAAUUAGACUCAAGUGCUAAUGAUCUCUGACCCUUUUCCUACUGAGCCCUGCCAGCUGGCUGCCUCUGCUCACCGCCAACCAGAGUCUCCCACAUUGAACAGCCACAGCUCCCAGGUGCAGAUAAACCCAAGUGAGGCUCACUCAGUCGGGAUGAAAGGGAUACGCGAGAUCCUGGAUAUUCAGUCAGCUCUGGAGCGCACUGGGUGGUUUCCUUCCAAUUGAGUGUUUGUCUCUCGCUGUUGUUGUUUGGUAAAAAUAAUUCUCCGAAACAGCGUUCUCUGCCGAGUAGUGUUGAUAUGAAAUUCUUCUCUCAAGCGUGGCAGCCAUCCUAGGCUCGAAUCAGGAGGGACUGGGUUCACUAUUUCAUAAGGCUUUUUCUUCCUUUUGUUUGGUGUGUGUGUGCAUGUGUGCAUGCAUGUGCGUAUGUGUAUGUGUGUGCGCAUGUGUGUGAGGUAAGGGGGACUAGAAGCAGGAUAAGGUUAGGUGCAUGCAAACCUGCAGUUCAGCUUUAGCACAUGCACUAAGAGACUUGGACUCUACGUCUAGAGAAUGGUGAUUGAGGGUCAGUCCGUAUAGUCCUAAGAACCAUUUUGGUGGUGGGAGGUGCUACUCAGGGAAUAAAGAACAGCCUUUGUGUUUCAUUGUGCUUUCUUGCUCUGUAAGGAAAGGACACUGCGCACAAUCAGAUCUCGAACUGGUGACCAAGAAUCCAGCCUGACUUAGGGAUUCUCAUUCUAAAAGCUGGCAGGCUGGCCCUAGGCAGAAAAGAGAACCAAAUAAGAGGGAAACUUUUCUUCAUUUGUUUCUAAGGUAGAGCUGGUAGAAGGGUGUGCAAUGUGUGUGUGAGACCAGAGGAUGGCUUGUUGGGUCUCUUGCUCCUCCGUGUGGAUUCCAGGAAUCAAACCCGAGUUCUCAGGCAUGGCAAGUGCCUUCGCCCACUGAGCUAUCCUGCCAGUCUCUCUCAUUUAAAAGCAGCUUCCUUGGGCAGCCAAAUGGCUCAGCAGGUAAAGGAUAAAGCCACCCAGUGUGGGGAGCGGGUGUGGCGGCAGUCCCAAAGGCGCCAGGGACUGCAGCUAAGUCAUAUGACUUGCACCUGACUUCCUCAUAUAAGACACAAACAUCUUGAGUGCUGCGCAGGUGUACCAGGAUACAGGUGAAUCCAAUUUGGUGGAGAUUUGCCCCUGCUGCCCUGAUUAGCUGAAGCCUCGUGACUGGCGAGGGGGCGUGGCCUGCAGUGCGUGGAUGAGAGAGUAUAAAAGGAGUGAGAGGCCCAGGGUUCGGGGGAGAUAUAAACAAGAAGAAUCAGGGAGAUAUAAACAAGAAGAAUCAGGGAGAUAUAAACAAGAAGAAUCAGGACUGAAUAAACUGCUGUUAGAAGGACUGGUGGUCGCGUCGUUCUUGCUGGUCGAGAGCGAGCGCGACAAUUGGUGGCCCGUACGGGGAACCGACUCCCCCACCGAGUUCAGAACUUUCAGCAGUCAGUGGUUGCCGGCAGGGUAAGUUCACGGUGAGUGAAACUUGCAACCCCAGGAGUUUGGGAAGGACCUCGGAUAAAAUAGAGGUGAGCAUAAAGUUGCCAGGAAGUAGGCACAAAGUAACCCAGGAGUUUGGGAAGGACCUCGGAUAAAAUAGAGGCAAGCAUAAAGUUGCCAGGAAGCAGGCACAAGGUAACGAAAGGUUCCCGGCUUUGGGACAAGUUAAGGUUCCUGGUUUUGGGACAAGUUAAGGUUCCUGGUUUUGGGACAAGUUAAGGUUCCUGGUUUUGGAACAAGUUAAGGUUCCCGGGUUUCGGCACCAACUCUUACACGUGUUCGCGACCGGCCAGGAAAGACGCAACAAACCGGAAUCUUCUGCGGCAAAGCUUUAUUGCUUACAUCUUCAGGAGCCAGAGAGCAAGAGAGCAAGAGAGCAAGAGCAAGAGCUCUAUUGCUUACAUCUUUAGGAGCCAGAGCGCAAGAGAGCAAGAGAGCAAGAGAGCAAGAGAGCAAGAGAGCAAGAGCAAGAGAGAGAAUGGCGAAACCCCGUCCCUUUUAAGGAGAAUUAUCCUCCGCCUAGGACGUGUCACUCCCUGAUUGGCUGCAGCUCAUCGGCCGAGUUGUCGUCACGGGGAAGGCAGAGCACAUGGGGUGGAGAACUACCCUUGGCACAUGCGCAGAUUAUUUGUUUACCACAGGAUGUCAGCGCCAUCUUGCAAUGUCGAAUGUGUGGGCGGCUCCCAACAACCCAGUGCCAAGCCUGAUGACCUAAGUGUGAUUCCUGGUCCCACCUGGUGGCAGAGGGAAAUUAACUCUCACAAGUCCCGUGACCUCCGCAAGCAUGGCCCUGACAGAUAAAUGUAAUAAAACGGCUUCCCGAAGAGGCCACUGUUGUUUUGCUGACACCUCCUGAGUCACACCCUAGCCACCAGCUCCCCACUAACCAUCAGCUGUGCUCCAUUGGAACAGAGGCAUUGGUAUAUGAAGAUAGGAAUGAGAACGUCACACAGCACAAACCCACCGUCCCUGCCCUGACAUCUGGAGAGAGAUGACAGGAUGGUAGCUGUCUUAGGGUUUUACUGCUGUGAACAGACACCAUGCCCAAGGCAAGUCUUAUAAAAAAACAACAUUUAAUUGGGGCAGGCUUACAGGUUCAGAGGUUCAGUCCAUUAUCAUCAAGGUGGGAGCAUGGCAGCAUCUAGGCAGGCAUGGUGCAGGCAGAGCUGAGAGUUGUACAUCUUCAUCCAAAGGGUGCUAGUAGAAGACUGACUUCCAGGCUACUAGGGUGAGGAUCUUAAGCCCACACCCACAGUGACACACCUACUCCAACCAGGUCAUACCUAUUCUAACAAGGCCACACCUCUAAAUGGUGCCACUCCCUGGCCCAAGAAUCUACAAACCAUCACAGUAGCCUUGUAAGAACAGCACCUAGUAGGAGGAAUCCCUCUCUGGUCCUCAUAGACUGCCCAUGUGAUGGUAGGCAGGUCACCUCCCGGUUUACCGGGGCUCUGCUCUAAAGCCUGAGUGCCUGCUGUGUCUUCUGUUCUGAAAGACAUCGUCCACACAAGGCCAAACCAUCCAUAAUCUUAGCUCUUUGGAACCGAGUGCGUCAAGAGUGGAUACACUUUGACCUGUGAACAGGACGCAUGCUCAGGAAAUUGAAGCAUUUAAUAAAUAACGCUUUAUUAAAGUUAAAACUAACAGAUUCAUCAGACCCAGUACUUUGUGGGGAAUUAUAUGUUGGAACUGUCCAGUAUCUUCUUCUUCGAGAGUCUUGACUCUGGGUGAAAUUAAUAUUCUAAUUUAUUAUAAUAAGAUGCAAAUGCACACUCAAGCUUGAACUCCACCAAGGAGAAAAUGACAAAGAGAGCUCCGGACCGAAACGUUGUUUAUCUUCAUUAAAAUCUGACUACAGGGCUGGAGAGGGGGCACAGCGGUUAAGGGCCCUGGCAGCUCCUGCAGAGAGGACCUGGGUUCAGUUUCCACACCCACAUGGCGGCUCACAACCAUCUGUAACUCCAGUUCCAGGGGAUCCGAUGCUCUCUUCCUGCUUCCAGGGGCGCUGCAUGUAGUGCACAGAUGAACGGGCAGAAUAGCGUGUAUACACAUAAAGUGGAAAUUAAAAUGUAUAGAGAAUCCUUGGACAGUUCAGCAUGAUGUGAGAGGGAGCAGAGCAGCUGCCUAGUGGCUAUCCUGUGCAGCUACAGUGAAAACCAGAUUCUGGGGAGCCUUCUGCUUACCCCACUGUUUAGUGGGUGCCCUCUAAAAAUUGUUAAUAAUUUGGAACAACGCAUCCUGUCUUUUUAAUUCUCUGCUGACCCUGCCAAUUGUGUAGCAGUCCUGUAAGAGAGAAGAAAUGGUAUUUUUCUAGAUUUCUCUCUGUGUUGAUUCAUUCUUACUUCCAGUGUAUCUCUCCGUGUGUUUUCUGCGUGCCAGGCACUCUCGUAGGCACUUAAUUUUAUGUCUGUGACAUGCUUGCAUUGGUGGCAGAAGAAUCCUUUUCUUUGUCCCUUAUAAAUUUUUUUCUUCAGUGACUUUUUCUUGUUGCUAUUUUGCAUGUGUUCGGGUGACCGUCUCUCUAGGUCGCCCAGUGUUUACUGGUCUCAGCCAUUCUGCUGCGAGAACUUGUUUAGGAUUCCAAGAACAGAGUGGGAAAAGACAUUGUUUAGCAAAUCCAUACCAUAGGAUGUUUCUAUCAGAGUCAAAAAUGCCUGCGAGUCUGAACUCUCCAGCCCCACUUGCUCUCUGGUUUUGAAUCUCAGUUGGUGCUCAUCAGUCCUCAAUGUUAACAGCCUUGUGGGUGGGUAUUCAAACGUCUUUAUGGUGCUCAGUCUCUAGAAAUUGCUUCACCUUCGAUUCUGUUUAUCUAUAAAGCUCUGUUUUAUUAGUCUACUAUUUUUCUGAUCAUUGGUACUAUCUCAUGUGAAUGGGAUGGCUUGGGAACCAAAGGAGUAGUUCCCGCAUCACUCUGAAGAACAACGUUUACUCCCUCAGAGAGAAGCAGUGUUGGGGAAUUGAAUGAUCAGGGGUGAAAGUAGCUAUUGAUUCUCUCCCAAAGGUUAGGAUGCUGAACAAUCUACGAAUCUAAGAAGAUCAGUGGAGUCAGUCUUACAUCUAAAGACCCUUGUGCCUCGAAGGUGUCUCAUGACACUGGUAAGAAGCAAAUGUCCCUUUCCCUGGUUCCUGAGAUUGAAAUCACAAAACGUAACUGUUGGCUGUGCUUAGCCUCCAAUAAACCGCAGACCCAAAUCCAGGUCUUGCUCACCAUGCUUUCCUAGAUGAGUUUGGCUCCGAGGUGCUGGAAAAGCAGACUUAGCACAGGGCACAGAAGGUGCACUGUAGGCUGCACGUGCAGAAAGUCAUCUGAUUUCUCAUCAGUUAGCAAAACAAUGUGCCUUUAAGGUAACAGUUGUUUUUCUUCUCCCCCACUUCUCUCAACCCUUCUUGGCUCUGUUGGUCCAUUUGUCCCAGCUGUUUUUGUACCACCCAGAAGUGGCAAUGUGCCCCGGCAUUUACUCAGCAGUAUGUGGUGUGUUGGAUAUAUGGGUGGACUUUUAAUGUCUUCUCUUUAUCUCCGAGAUGAUCAAGAAACCAAUUCACUGAAGAACAAGAGAGAGGAGGGUCCUGUGGCGAUUUGAACACUCCAGUUUACGCUUCCCCCCCCCCUUGAGAAAUUCUUCACACCAUUUAAGCCUCGACAUUAAAAGGAAGAAAAAAGAAAUCUAGCGAGCCGUCAGAACCAGAUCCAGCCUGCAUGCUCUUUUAGUGGUGCUAGUCACGGUUAUUCAUACUGAAUUAUACAAUUCUAAAGUAUUUUAUGCCGUGCAAAAAUCGUUGAGUAUACACUGCAAAAAACAUGUGAUAAACCCGUAAGAGUCCAGCCAAACUGCAUUCCACUUUGCAAUCUAGAAUUGCCCUCAAUUUGCUUAAUGAGUCUCUUGCUCUUUAUUGAUUAGAGACUUUAAUUUGCCUUUCAGCACAGCUCAGACUGUUCACCUAACACCCACACAAUCUGACGUGAGACAGGGAUUUCCCCUUCACAGUAUUAUAGAACUUGACUGGUAUAAAUUGAAUGGCUGGUUCCUUUGUCCCAGGGAGGCAAAUGGUAAUUAUUUAUGGCCAGGAUUUUGUGAAAAUUAAAUUCCCAGAGAUUUAUGUUCUGCAAGGAUUAACUCUUUGCAGUCAGUACGAAAUGCCUUUGCCCAGUGAGCAAUUUUCCAGCCCCUGAGUUGAAGCUCCUCCCCCAUCGAUCCCCCACCUCAUACCCUUCCUCCCCUCCCCGCCCCCACACGGGCUCCUUGCUGACAACCAUGCAGGCUCUUCACGCCUCAGUUCCAGUAUUGGCCAGCAACACGUUCAUUAAUCAAAUAGAUAGCUUGACAGUCCCACGGAUAAAACUGAGCUUUUGCCUGUGAGCAUCUGGCAAACAGCUACUGCCUGGAAACUCGCAGUCACAUAUCUGUGGCCUCAGUGAUAUAUUUCAUUUUUGUUGUCAAUGAAACAGAAGUUGACUCAUUUCUUCCUGUGGAAUGGAAGCAUCUCGUUUAAAUAUCACCUGUAUUUCAAUCUACGUUAUUGAAGCAUUACAGCUGUCCCCAAGGCGCUGAGGUCACCAGCCACAGGCAGUUGCAUGUUCUUUCUGUGUCUUGAAUGGAUUUGAAAUGGACAGAAGCAUGAAAAAGAAGCAGAAUUUCCUGUAACUGAGCUUACCUUGGUCACUGGUCAUUCCUGUUGAUGGCAAAGGAUGAGACGUCUCCCCUUCAAGGAAGCCCAGUGAUUGGCGGGUUGAAAAUAUUUUCUUCGGGGAAUUAUUCAAUGACAUUGACAGUUUCCUAUCAUUUCGAUGCAGACUUCAAAGGCCCUGAAUGUGUCAUUGCCUCUAGUGGGGAUGCUUGGCUCUCCCCUUCCUCUAGGUCCCUCUUCCUCUAACACUUGGCUCCAUGGAGGCCUUUGUAGCUUGAUGAUGGGAGCUAUGGUACCCACUCCUGUUCUUCCUCCUACUGCUUGGUAGGCUGUCAGCCUUUCUCGUCACAGAGCCCCAUCAUGGAGACCUCUGUUCUCUUUCCUGCCUGGUGGCACCCGGUGCUACUCCCAUGGCAUAUCUUAGUGUCUUAGUCCACUGGAGCGGUGUCUGUAACAGAAUACCUUAAGCUAAUUAACUUAUUAAAAAAAAGAAAUGCAUUACUUAUGUUUCCAAAAUCUGUACACUCUUAGUUCUUAUAGAAUCACUUGAGAAGAAGGACCCUCAGCUGAGGUCUUGCUUCUGACAGAUUGGCAGGUGGGCAUGUCUGUAGUAUACAGAAAGGCAUGCAUAUACAUGCACACCAAGACACAGAUGCAUGUGCACAUGCACAUAAAUGCUUGCUUGCCAAACUUUAAAACUUGGAUGAUUUUAUAAUUAUCAGGGAAAAUCUGAACAUAUAUUUGUUUUAUAGUGUUACUCCAUACUUUAAAAAAAAAAACAAAUCCUGCAGGUUUUCAUAGACUUCCAAUUUAUUUCUCUGUUAACUAUUUAGCAAAGCGAGUCCCUUUUAUCUUAAAGUAGCUGUAGGAAUUUUCCCCCAGACUUAGAAGUUUUAUGGAUGGGUUAUAAAUAAACUCUCUGAAAAACUAGUAACAGUUGCUGUGUUCUUAAGUCACUGCUACUAUGUGGGCGUUGAGAGUGGAUGGGAUUUAUCUCAAAUUCAGAAGAUAAAAAGAAAGAACUUGUUCAGGGCUAAAUUUGGUUCAUCAACUACUAUCUUUGGUUGAUUUCCAAGAGGAUUUUCUUUGAAACAAAACAAAAUAAAUUAAAGAGGGAAGUAGUGAUGUACACCGUUAAUCCCAGCACUUGGGAGGCAGAGGCAGGAGGAUCUCUGUAAGUUUGAGGCCAACUUGGUCUACAGAGUGAGUUCUGGGAGAGCCUCGGCUACAGUGUCUCUCAGCCACCAUCCCCACCCCAAAUUAAAGAAAGGUGAUUUUAUUUUGCUUUGUCUUUGUUUUUUAUUUUUGUUUUUUAAAUGGCUUUUGAUUGUUUCUCUGUAAACCCUUUAUGAGGGGAGUGGAUUGCUGAGCUGUCUUUAGUGUGCUAGAGGGAAGGAAUGGGUGACUAAUCUCAGCCAUCACAGUCAGAAGCCUCAUGAAGCCCGCAGCUCAGUUAGCCGCUUCACCUCGGUACAUCAGUCCAUCGAAAGGAGUAGCACCAAAGGAAAGGAGUGGCAGAUGGAAGCUCAGUAUUGGUUUUUAUUUCCAACACAAGUAUCAUAGAAACAAUGCAAGACAAAUGUCUCUACAAAGGGAUGAAGAAGCAAGAGCAACGUUAUGGGUCACUCAAAGGAAAUAAGUUGGGGCCCAUGCUGGCCAAUCCUAAGGUGUUUAGCUCUCUCUGUCUGGAAAAGUAGUUCAUGCAUUUUUCCCAAGGAAUUCGACUUUAUAGGCAUCUUUGGCCAUCUGCCUAGGCGUCCUUUAAUAAGUGUACAACCACUCUAUAAGUACAGAAUACAACUGAGAAGUAGCUUCAUUCAUUUUCACUUGUUUUUAUGUGUAGACAGCAUUGUGCUCCUUGCAAAAUCACUUACCUGUCCUGCUAUUGGUGAGGCAAUUUUGUUCCUUUUUACAAUUUAACAAACUUAGACCAAUUUAGUCUCAGUGUCUCUCUUUUGGGGGGGGGAGGGGCCAAUAAACUGGGAAUGACCAGUUCCAGAAAGUCACAGCAAGAUUUCUGGGCCACAGUAGCUUUGCUUGAGCCCUGUUUCCUUAGCACCGUGCAUCCCUGUCUGGUUCUAGUGGUGACAGGUGCCUGCUGAUGGGACCAUAUUUAUCCAGGUGAUGAAAGCAGAUGAUUGUCUUCAAGAGCCAGCAGUAUAGUGAGUGGCAGGGAGUGGCCUGAACCAUUGACACCUGUGGGGCUGAGACCCUGAGUCAGCCUCAGGAGGGAACAUCAAUAUGGAUGGGUUUAGCAUGGAUCUGUAGAAAGCUGUCUUGUUUGUUUGUUUGUUUGUUUGUUUGUUAUGGGAGAGAGGUCAUGUGUGUGGAGGCCAGAGGACAACCUGCAAGAGUCAGUUCUCUCCUUCUAUCAUACAGGUCCUGGGGAUUGAACUCACAUCAUCGACUUUGGCAGCAAGCUGCUUAGCCAACUUGUUGGCCCCCAAAGUUGGCUGCUUAAUGCUGGUGCACCCAGGCUGUGCUGGAGCUUUGUUGCUCUUAAUCCCAAAGGAUUGGCUUUGGAGAAUGAGCCUUCCUGUUGGCAUGCAGCAGAACUUUAGUGGUUUUGAGCUUUAUGUGCGUGAUUAAUGGAUCAAAACAGAAUAAAUAUUACCCAGUUGCCAGGGCUGGCACUAUCAUAAUAAAAUUCAUAUGAAUGAUUUUAAUGUGUUUUCCAGUAAAAUGAAAUUGCUUUCAAAGGUAUUUUGGAAUUUCCGAUAUAUGGGGAACUUUUACAAAAACAUGUGCCUUGUGUUUUUAAUCCAAAAACUUUCCUUGAACACUUUUGCUCAUGGUAAAAAUAAUGGCCAACUCUCUCUUGCUUUUUGUUUCGAGUGUAUCUUUAGUGCAGUGAUUGCAUCAAAAGUGAUUACAAGGUUGUUCCAGCCCACCCUUGUCUCUGCUCAUGUUGCUCAACUGAUAUGUUUGUCUCUUUUUCUCUUGAGCUCCCCUGCUGUGAUGGGGACAUUUUCCCAGAUUUUAAUAAUCUCCAAGGAACGUGCAGAUGACUGUGGCUUGCAGUGGACUUAACCUGAGGGGAAAUUCUGCUGAGGCCCAGACUUUACAAUCAUAUCUACUUCCCUCUCUCCCUUCCCUUUCCUCUUCCCCCGAACCCCCACCCCUAUCCUCUCUUCCUUGAAGACAUCUUGGCACCUCAUUUCAACCCAGCCCAAACUGGGCUAUUCAGUAUGAGCUCUGUGCAUAGACUCUGCCUGCGCUGGCUUCUGAUCCCGGCUAGACUGCAGGUGGUGAAGGCUAUUGAGAAGUCAAUGCGGAAUGUUCUUGCUAUUCAUGUGAGGUGUAACGUAAGUGCUGGCACACCUGGGAAACAGUUUCACCAGCCAAAGUGUGUUAACACAUCCUAAGUCCUCCCAACCAUCCCUAGAAGGCACCAGCCACCUCCUCCUCUAUAGUGACUUAGAAUUGGCUGGCAGCACACUGGAGUCCAGUGAAUGUUUCAUGGAAACAUACUCUGUGUCGGGGUCUUGUUUAGAUUCUUGAGGCACAAAGCAAGGAGGAAAAGGUUCUACCUUUCUAGAGCUUACUUCUAGAAGAUACGAGCAAUUCCGAGAAAAUGCAUGUCCAUGGGUGAUAAGUAGUGAAGAAUCGAAAAAAAAGGUAAGAAAUCAGAAGCACAGAGUAAGCUGGAAAUUAAAAUUGGGUAGGCGGCUGGAUUUAGCAAAGAUUUGGGAAUGGUAACGGAGUUGACAGAGCUUGUUUCUGGAGGAUAUAUACUGGCAGUUAAGGCAACCAACACACUAAGAAAGCUCAAUGCAUUCUGGGAGUAUCACUCAGGCCAGUGUGGCCAUGGGUGUGAGCCCAGGUGAGAGUGGCCAGAGAUGGGCUGCAGGGGAAUAUAGCCUCAGGUUUGAGAGCCAUGGCUACAACCUUAGUCCUUACUCUGAGUGCACUAUGAAGCUAGGAGAAAUUUUGAGCAGAGAAAGGAAAUUUUGCAUUCAUUAAUAUGUUGGUAGAGACGAGUGUAGCCACUCAGUAAGGCCCGAUGUGAUGAUGAAUCAGACUGAGAUGGAGCGGGUAGGUUAAGGACUGUGUUUGGGGUCUGAGGAGUCCCGGUUCCCAUUGGAACUGUUAAUUAAAUGGUAACUGUCCAAUAGACUUUCAAAUGCACAGGGAGUGGAAGAGCCUUGAAGUUCAGGGGAGAAAUGGAGGGGGAGAGAUAGAGCUGAGCCCUGUAACGGGAGGUGCUUAGGCCCGGGACACUCCAUUCCACUGAGUCCUCGAGUGCAGGUGGGACAGCACUGCCUUGGUUGGUUUUCCCACUCGGAACCUCUGUGGGGAUGUCCUCAGAGGCUAGGGACAUCAAGGACAGACCUUCACUGCUAGCAUAUUCCUGUCUGUUAACUAACUUCACUGAUCUCUUGCUCUUUUAAAUGGCUCCAUCAUAUAUAUAAAUACCAUCACAGGUAUUUAUCAUGCCUGCAAGAGGCCCUAGGUUUCAACCUCAAUCAGAAAAAAGAGUAACAAGACAUGUGUAUUUUAAUAUAUGUGUUUAAUGCUUUGUGUGUAUGGAUAUAUAUAUAUAUACACACACAUAUAUAUAUACACAUAUAUUAAAAUGUGUGUGUAUAUAUGUAUAUAUAUAUAUACGUAUAUAGAUAUAUACAUAAUCUAUGUGUAUAUUUUAAAACAUUGCGUGUAUAUAUACAUGAGUAUAGAUGUACAUAUAUAAUUUAUUUAUGCAUAUAUAUGUAAUUUGUCUCCCAGUGGAGGUAGACUUUCCUCUAGACUGAAAAGUUUCUUCAGUGCUAACCCAUUUGAAAGUGGCUUUGCUUUCUCCUGUUAGGAUGGGCUGAGUAGUUAUACACCAUUCUAAAAUGCGUAUGUUCAAGUCCUGCCUCAUAGUGUGAUGGUGUUUGGAGGUUAUUAUGUUCAGAUGUCAAAAGGGGGUACCCCCAUGGUAGAAUUAGUAUCCUUAGAAGAAGAGAAGGUGCUAGAGUUCUGGCUUCUCUGAGCCAUGCUGGGGUACAGUGAGACACCCUCAAGCCAUCUGCUUGCCGGCAAGGCUGACCUCUCUAGGACCUGACUCCGCCAGUCCCUCCAUCUUGGGUGUUCAGGCUCUGAGACUCUGAGAGAUGAAUUUGUGUGGAAGACGUCUGCAUUCUACUCUUCGGUAGCAGCCAGGGAUGAUGUAGGUAUUUGCAAAUGCUAAUAGCAGACUGCACGUAGCUGACAAUAACUUUGCGUGGACUUUUAAUAUGAAAGAGAGUUUUUCACACAUUAACCCAACCCUGACUGUGAGCCCAAUUUCAACCUACUACUCAAAUAGAAAACUGGAAGUUUUUCUGAAAGGGCUGAAGCAUGCUCCUUAUUUUUCUAAAUUAACUCUUAGCAAAGCUGGCUUUAAACCCAAGCAGUUUGCAAUCUGAGGCCCACAUGCCGUGGUGUCUAUGGUGAGCCCUGUCCCGGGAAGCUGGCUUGAGAGACAGUGAGUCUCAGAAGUCACAUGGCCUGGCUAUGGCCUUGGCGGUGAUCCCUGCAAAGUUCAGGAGGCCACAGUGGAAGGCACGGGUCUGAGUGACAGUGUGCUAGCUUGGGGGGAUGUAUUGUCUGAACUGGGCAGAAUGCAGCUGUUCCUGGCAGUGAGUUCUAAUGCACACUCUGUGAAUCGCAAGCCUGAAUUUCUCCUGUGUGUGCCGGACUGUGCUGGCUUCUCUACAUCCCCGGGGGUUGUCCAGUGCCCGUGUUCUGGCACUCUGUCAGCAAAGAGCUGCUUUGUGGGUGUUUCUGGUAAUCCAAGUAGGACUAGCCCCCCAUUAACUCUGACCUGUGCUAUUGUUGCAGUGGAUUAUGGCAGUGAUGUAAGCUCCCAUUGCAACCCCAGGCAAUCCCAUUCCAGUGAUUCACCUGGAAAAGAAACCGAUUGUUGGCCUUCUGGCCUAGGCUCUGACUGCAGGCCAGCCAUCAGAAACAGUGUUCAGGCAAGCAGCCAUGUCACCUGCCUGCCACCUCAGUGUAUGGAGCCAUUCAGGAGGAACAACCUUGUCGCCUGAUGCUGUCUCAUGGCUGUGUGGCAGGUAACACCCAGGAGUUUGUGGACAGCGUCCAGGUCUGCUGAUCAGACUCUCAUAUUGCAUGUUUGUCCGAAGUGUCUCCAUCUUUAGCCUUCUUGGUUAUCCAGGACAUGUAGAUUGAGUUUGAGGGUGUCUUUUUGUCUGACAGCAAGCAUCCGAAGUGACAGGAAAAUCUCUG